This 898-nucleotide ribosomal RNA is filed under the name Streptopelia decaocto (Eurasian collared-dove). RNAcentral's name for it is "partial 16S ribosomal RNA". Lineage: Eukaryota; Metazoa; Chordata; Aves; Columbiformes; Columbidae. The record is from RNAcentral.
CUAAACUAUUUUCUGAUCUUCCCCUUACUUUAUUUCUUUCCCCCCCCCCCCCCUACACCGCCCGAAUCGCACCACGAGAUAAACCCCGAACAACCUCCAACACCACAAACAACGUAAGCAAUAACCCCCACCCCGCCACUAAAAACAUCCCAACCCCAUGCGAAUAAAACAAAGCCACACCACUAAAAUCCAACCGAACAGAGAACAUCCCCCCUCCAUCAACAGUCACCACCCCCAACUUCCACCCUUCAAAGAAACCCCCAACAGCAACCCCCACCGCCAACACCACAACAAAUCCCAAACCAUAGCCCAUCACACGUCAAUCACCUCAUGUCUCAGGAAACGGAUCUGCCGCCAAAGACACAGAAUACACAAACACUACCAACAUACCCCCCAAAUAAACCAUAAACAGAACAAGCGAUAUAAACGACACACCUAAACUCAACAACCACCCGCAACCAGUGACAGACGCCACCACUAACCCUACAACCCCAUAAUACGGAGAAGGAUUAGACGCCACCCCCAACCCGCCCAAAACGAAACCAAAUCCCAAAAAUAGUACAAAAUAAGUCAUAGCAGUUUCUGCUUGGCUUUUCUCCAAGAGCUGCGGCCUGAAAAGCCGCCGUUGUAGGAUUCAACUACAGAAACAAGCGAAAAACAUAGGACACAAUGCAGGGACCCGCUAUUAAGGGUUCGUUUGUUCAACGAUUAAUAGUCCUACGUGAUCUGAGUUCAGACCGGAGUAAUCCAGGUCGGUUUCUAUCUAUGUCAAACUUUUCCUAGUACGAAAGGACCGGACAAGUGAGGCCAAUGCUUCAACGCACGCCCCCUCUCUAAGUAAUGAACCCAACUAAAUUACAAAGAGACCCCCCACAACAUCUAAUCCUAGAAAAGGAUC